AUUGAACGCUGGCGGCAGGCCUAACACAUGCAAGUCGAAUGGUAACAGGAAACAGCUUGCUGUUUCGCUGACGAGUGGCGGACGGAAGAGUCAUGUCUGGGAAACUGCCCGAUGGAGGGGGAUAACUACUGGAAAAGGUAGCUAGUACCGCAUAACGUCGCAAGCACAAAGUGGGGGACCUUCGGGCCACUUGCCAUCAGGUGUGCCCAGAUGGGAAUAGCUCGUAGGUGGGGUAACGGCUCACCUAGGCGACGAACCUUAGCUCGUCUGAGAGGAUGAACAGGCACAUUGGCACUGAGACACGGCCCAGACUCUGACGGUAGGCAGCAGUGGGGAAUAUUGCACAAGGGGGGAAAGGCUGAUGCUGCCAAGCCGCGUGUAGGAAGAAGGCCUUCUGGUUGUAAAGUAAUUUAGGCGGUGGGGAAGGAAGUCAAGUUAAUACCUGUCCUCAUUGACGUUACCCGGAGAAGAAGCACCGGCUAACUUCGUG
This 490-nucleotide ribosomal RNA is filed under the name uncultured bacterium. RNAcentral's name for it is "partial 16S ribosomal RNA". It matches the Rfam family "Bacterial small subunit ribosomal RNA", at positions 30 to 507 of the family's 1533-position model. The record is from RNAcentral.